AUUGAACGCUGGCGGCAUGCUUUACACAUGCAAGUCGAACGGUAACAGGCCGCAAGGUGCUGACGAGUGGCGAACGGGUGAGUAAUGCAUCGGAACGUGCCCAGUCGUGGGGGAUAACGCAGCGAAAGCUGCGCUAAUACCGCAUACGAUCUGUGGAUGAAAGCGGGGGACCUUCGGGCCUCGCGCGAUUGGAGCGGCCG
RNAcentral lists this ribosomal RNA (200 nucleotides) under uncultured bacterium. Its description in RNAcentral is "partial 16S ribosomal RNA". It matches the Rfam family "Bacterial small subunit ribosomal RNA", at positions 30 to 232 of the family's 1533-position model. The record is from RNAcentral.